CAAUGGGCGCAAGCUGAUCCAGCAAUGCCGCGUGAGUGAAGAAGGCCUUCGGGUUGUAAAGCUCUUUUGUCAGGGAAGAAACGGUCUCGGCUAAUAUCCGGGGCUAAUGACGGUACCUGAAGAAUAAGCACCGGCUAACUACGUNGGNCNGCAGCCGCGUUAAUACGUAGGGUGCAAGNGUUAAUCNGAAUUACUGGGCGUAAAGCGUGCGCAGGCGGUUUUGUAAGUCUGUCGAGAAAGCCCCGGGCUCACCCUGAGAAUUGCGAUGGAGACUGCAAGGCUUGAAUCUGGCAGAGGGGGGUAGAAUUCCACGUGUAGCAGAGAAAUGCGUAGAGAUGUGGAGGAACACCGAUGGCGAAGGCUGCCCCCUGNGUCAAGAUUGACGCUCAGGCACGAAAGCGUGGGGAGCAAACAGGAUUAGAUACCCUGGUAGUCCACGCCCUAAACGAUGUCUACUAGUUGUCGGGUUUUAAUUAACUUGGUAACGCAGCUAACGCGUGAAGUAUACCGCCUGGGGAGUACGGUCGCA
Molecule: ribosomal RNA, 529 nt
Filed under: uncultured beta proteobacterium
Lineage: Bacteria; Pseudomonadati; Pseudomonadota; Betaproteobacteria
Description: bacterial SSU rRNA
Rfam family: Bacterial small subunit ribosomal RNA
Source: RNAcentral